CCGGGGAGAACUGGACCGUAUUCAGAUGGCACCAUGCCCUCCACCCACCACCCGGAAACUGGCCUUGCUGGCAACGGGUGGGUGGGGAGGAAGGCUGAACUGUUGGGGCUUGUUCCCGGCCUCGGGAGCGGGGCAGGCGGCAGGGGUGAGUUGCAGGGAUGGGCUGAGGUUAGAGAUUCCUCUUGAUGAAAAUCCCUUGCCCCACAAAUGGGCCUGUGUGGACAGAGAGGGCGAGUGAUAGGAAGAUGCGGUGAGGGCAGAGAGACGCCUUCCAGGGGAAGAAAUCAGAGAAUCCUGCCCAAGACCUGGAGCCCGCGAAGCCUCCCACCUCCUGGGGCACCAGGAGACACAGAAAAGUACAAAGAAGAAAACUAAAAAGGUGACCCAGAGAGAACCACUCUAAGAUGUGCACGGGAAUUCAGCUCAGCUCGCGUAUUUAAAUUGAGAUCCUACUGUUGUCUGUUUUUUCAUUUUUCACGAAAAUAAAACUUGACUCAAAGUUUCAUUUUAAAAUAC
Molecule: long non-coding RNA, 516 nt
Filed under: Homo sapiens (human)
Lineage: Eukaryota; Metazoa; Chordata; Mammalia; Primates; Hominidae
Description: HSALNT0268641
Source: RNAcentral